AGUGAACGCUGGCGGUAGGCCUAACACAUGCAAGUCGAACGGCAGCACAGUAAGAUCUUGCUCUUACGGGUGGCGAGUGGCGGACGGGUGAGGAAUACAUCGGAAUCUACUUUUUCGUGGGUGAUAACGUAGGGAAACUUACGCUAAUACCUCAUACGACCUACGGGUGAAAGCAGUGGAUCUUCGGACCUUGCGCGAUUGUAUUAGCCGAUGUCGGAUUAGCUAGUUGGCGGGGUAAAGGCCCACCAAGGCGACGAUCCGUAGCUGGUCUGAGAGGAUGAUCAGCCACACUGGAACUGAGACACGGUCCAGACUCCUACGGGAGGCAGCAGUGGGGAAUAUUGGACAAUGGGCGCAAGCCUGAUCCAGCCAUACCGCGUGGGUGAAGAAGGCCUUCGGGUUGUAAAGCCCUUUUGUUGGGAAAGAAAAGAAGCAGGUUAAUACCCCGCUGUUCUGACGGUACCCAAAGAAUAAGCACCGGCUAACUUCGUG
Molecule: ribosomal RNA, 492 nt
Filed under: uncultured bacterium
Lineage: Bacteria
Description: partial 16S ribosomal RNA
Rfam family: Bacterial small subunit ribosomal RNA
Source: RNAcentral